This 428-nucleotide ribosomal RNA is filed under the name uncultured bacterium. Its description in RNAcentral is "partial 16S ribosomal RNA". It matches the Rfam family "Bacterial small subunit ribosomal RNA", at positions 354 to 796 of the family's 1533-position model. The record is from RNAcentral.
GUGGGGAAUAUUGGGCAAUGGGCGCAAGCCUGACCCAGCAACGCCGCGUGAAGGAAGAAGGCUUUCGGGUUAUAAACUUCUUUUACCAGGGACGAAACAAAUGACGGUACCUGGUGAAUAAGCCACGGCUAACUACGUGCCAGCAGCCGCGGUAAUACGUAGGUGGCGAGCGUUAUCCGGAUUUAUUGGGUGUAAAGGGCGUGUAGGCGGGACAGCAAGUCAGAUGUGAAAACCAGAGGCUCAACCUCUGGCCUGCAUUUGAAACUGUUGUUCUUGAGUGUCGGAGAGGUAAUCGGAAUUCCGUGUGUAGCGGUGAAAUGCGUAGAUAUACGGAGGAACACCAGUGGCGAAGGCGGAUUACUGGACGAUAACUGACGCUGAGGCGCGAAAGCGUGGGGAGCAAACAGGAUUAGAAACCCGGGUAGUCC